This 72-nucleotide transfer RNA is filed under the name Phrynosoma platyrhinos (Desert horned lizard). RNAcentral describes it as "tRNA-OTHER". The record is from RNAcentral. Lineage: Eukaryota; Metazoa; Chordata; Lepidosauria; Squamata; Phrynosomatidae.
GCCAGUGUGGUGUAAUGGUUUGAGCAUUGGAUUAUGACUCUGGAGGCCAGGGUUGGAAUCCUGGCUCAGCCA